AAAUGAGUGAGAGGGAGAUAUGGUGUGGAAAAAAAGAAGCAAAUGGAUAUGAGUGGAUAUGGGUUAGAGCAAGAGGAGAAGAAAGAGUGAAAUGAGAUAAUUAAUAUGAAUAAGGGAGUGAAGAAAAACAAGAUCUCAAUAUUCAAAAAACAUUGAAGGCAGGUUAGGAAUGAUACAUGUUUAUGCUUAAUUGGAGAUUUAGUGGAGGUUCUUGGUAAUUUAAUGGAAAUGACAAAUGAUAGUGGAAGGUGUAAAGGUUUCGU
This 263-nucleotide long non-coding RNA is filed under the name Gossypium raimondii (Peruvian cotton). RNAcentral's name for it is "long non-coding RNA (GRAI_LNC005220)". Lineage: Eukaryota; Viridiplantae; Streptophyta; Magnoliopsida; Malvales; Malvaceae. The record is from RNAcentral.